RNAcentral lists this ribosomal RNA (489 nucleotides) under uncultured bacterium. Its description in RNAcentral is "partial 16S ribosomal RNA". It matches the Rfam family "Bacterial small subunit ribosomal RNA", at positions 30 to 507 of the family's 1533-position model. The record is from RNAcentral.
UUGAACGCUGGCGGCAGGCCUAACCCCUGCAAGUCGAACGGUAACAGGAAACAGCUUGCUGUUUGGCUGACGAGUGGCGGACGGGUGAGUAAUGUCUGGGAAACUGCCUGAUGGAGGGGGAUAACUACUGGAAACGGUAGCUAAUACCGCAUAACGUCGCAAGACCAAAGAGGGGGACCUUCGGGCCUCUUGCCAUCGGAUGUGCCCAGAUGGGAUUAGCUAGUAGGUGGGGUAACGGCUCACCUAGGCGACGAUCCCUAGCUGGUCUGAGAGGAUGACCAGCCACACUGGAACUGAGACACGGUCCAGACUCCUACGGGAGGCAGCAGUGGGGAAUAUUGCACAAUGGGCGCAAGCCUGAUGCAGCCAUGCCGCGUGUAUGAAGAAGGCCUUCGGGUUGUAAAGUACUUUCAGCGGGGAGGAAGGGAGUAAAGUUAAUACCUUUACUCAUUGACGUUACCCGCAGAAGAAGCACCGGCUAACUCCGUG